This is a long non-coding RNA of Hyaena hyaena (striped hyena), 626 nucleotides long. RefSeq lists it as uncharacterized. The transcript is spliced from 3 exons. NCBI's taxonomy places the organism in Eukaryota, Metazoa, Chordata, Mammalia, Carnivora, Hyaenidae. The record is from RefSeq and is a predicted model, not a curated record.
CCUAUGUGACUGGUCACCAGUAAAAAUACCGGGCACUGAUUCUCUCAUGAGGUUUCCUGGUAGACAACAUUUCAUAGAGGGCAAAACUAAAACCAAAGUACAUCUUAUAUAGAAGCAAACUGGACAGAAGAAAGAACCUUCAGAUUGGAAAACACGAAGCAGAAGAGUCUGGAUGCUUAUUUGGCAUUAUCAAUAUCAAAUAAUCUAUCAAGUAAACUUACAGAUGGUACCAUUAUGACGGAGAAGGAAGUUUCAGGUCUGUGUGAAGACAAAACAUCCACAAUCUGGGCGGCGGAGGCCGAGCCGCCCACCUUCCGCUCACGUCCACUCGGCACCCAGAAGGCCGCUGUGCCUGCCAGCAGUUCCCGAAGGCCCGCGUGCACAGACACCCCUCUGCCUGUCCACCUGGUCUUCCCUGACCCCUCCAUUCACCGGAGCGCUCCCGCGUCGGCGGCCCACACUCCCCAGGAAUCACCUGAGUCUGCCAAAUUACAAACACGCGGACUCUCACCACCUUACUAGAAGGCAGGCUUAAAAAAUAGCAACCGUGGAGAACUACCUAGCCCAAUUACAUUACGUACCCCUCUCCACCCACAAUAAAGCCAACUGGCUGGCCCCUUACCUUU